AGAGAUGUGUGAUGACGCAUAUCAAUAAGCGGAGGAAAAGAAACUAACAUAGGAUUCCCUCAGUAACGGCGAGUGGAGCGGGAAGAGCUCAAAUUUGAAAUCUUCAAGGUUCUACCUUGACGAAUUGUAGUUUAAAGAAGUGUUUUCUGUUGGAGUUUUGGUAAAAGUUCUUUGGAAUAGGACAUCAUAGAGGGUGAGAAUCCCGUAUUUGACCAUUAUUUCCAACUUUGUGAUACACUUUCAAAGAGUCGGAUUGUUUGGGAAUGCAGUCCAAAAUGGGUGGUAAAUUUCAUCUAAAGCUAAAUAUUGGCGAGAGACCGAUAGCGAACAAGUACCGUGAGGGAAAGAUGAAAAGAACUUUGAAAAGAGAGUUAAACAGUACGUGAAAUUGUCAAAAGGGAAGCGUUUGACACCAGUGUUGUUUUUCCGAAAAUCAAUUACGAAUGUUUUAUUUUUGAGAAGUUAUGACUUCAUCGGCUUGCUUCUCUCUUUAUGAAACUUUCUUAAUGCACUUUUCGGUUAACAAGUCAACAUCAAUUUCUUUUGUUGUAAAAGGGUAUGAGGAAGGUGGCUUUCUUUUCGGAGAAAGUGUUUAUAGCCUUGUAGCCUCUGCAAUCGGAGAGAUUGAGGUCUGCAGCGUAGAUCCUUCGGGGUUAGAUACAUUUGUGCUAAGUUAUAGCUUUUCAGUAGACAACUUGUUGACUAUGUUUAGUCUUGUGACUUACUCGCUUAUGCUAUUUUACCUACGCUUAGGAUGUUGAAGAUGUAGCACAUCAU
Molecule: ribosomal RNA, 777 nt
Filed under: uncultured Neocallimastigales
Lineage: Eukaryota; Fungi; Neocallimastigomycota; Neocallimastigomycetes; Neocallimastigales
Description: partial large subunit ribosomal RNA
Rfam family: Eukaryotic large subunit ribosomal RNA
Source: RNAcentral